AUGGGUUAUGAAGACAGGGAUGGUCUCGUACACACUCAGGAUGAAGGUAUGGGUUAUGAAGACAGAGACUGUCUCGUACACACUCAGGAUGAAGGUUGGUUUAUGAAGACAGAGACCGUCUCGUACACACUCAGGAUGAAGGUAUGGGUUAUGAAGACAGGGAUGGUCUCGUACACACUCAGGAUGAAAGUAUGGGUUAUGAAGACAGGGACGGUCUCGUACACACUCAGGAUGAAGGUAUGGGAUAUGAAGACAGGGACCGUCUCGUACACACUCAGGAUGAAGGUGUGGGUUUUGAAGACAGGGACGGUCUCGUACACACUCAGGAUGAAGGUAUGGGAUUAUGAAGACAGGGACCGUCUCGUACACACUCAGGAUGAAGGUAUGGGUUAUGAAGACAGGGACGUGUCCAUAUUGUAGAUGCUUAUAGGACAGCCACCCAUUAGAGCCAUGAUGUGACAUUAUCAACUAUUUUCUUACAUCGUUAGAUGUAACACUAUUAGGUCAUCAUGCUGCUUGACUAGAUGUUUGUUAUUUAGCUGAAUUAUAGUUUCCUAUUCAGAUCAAUAGCAUAAAUAAACCUAUAGGCACAUAAAGCCAUCUAUAGCCACUCUAUAGGGGACCUUAACUGUAGAUAAACUGAGAAGCAUUUCCUUUGGUCAUCGUCAAGGACAAGAGUGUAUGUACCUGAAGUCUGGAAUGUUUAUGCUUUCUGAUUGGUCAAAAACGUGCUAUCUGAACAAAGACAACAUUUUGUAAAAACAAUAUAUUUUUGUAUAAUUUUUUUUCAUUAGUCCACAGUUCCAGUUUCAAAAUGUGUUGCGUGUCACCAGUCAAGUGAAGAUAUUGGACUUUCAAGAAGAAAAUGUUCAUAGGCUUUUAGCCUGUAAUCCUAAGGGUGGAAUCCAGCCAAAGCUUCAGGUUGAGUUAGGUAAAAUAGGUCCCGAGCUUUCUGUCAAUAGAUCAACAUACUUGGGAACAGAAAGUUAAAAUGGAAUCCCUAUUCCCUGUUUAGGGCACUAGUUUGACCAGGGCCCAUUUAGGACACAGCCCAGAUCUUAUCAGACAACCUACUUGGUGAUGUUAAAACCUUUGAAAGAGAGAGUGCUCCAUUGUGGUCUGGCUCAAACAACAGAUUCUUGUUAGUGUAUUCUAAGUGUUGUGAUCACACUAAGGACUAAAAUACUUGGGUAAAAAGCUAUUCAGCCAUUGAGAAAGACACGUCUUCAUACCGUAUGAUGACGUGGUAAUGUGUUUAGAACGAUAAGUACUGUAGUGAAAGCUGUUAGACAUCAGGGUGGUUUGUUUCCGUGGCACUGUGAGGAUGAGAUUAGCAGAAAUAUUGACUGGACAGACUCUUCAUCUUCCAGGUUUACAAGCUUCUGUUUGUAUACGUCCCAAAUGGCUUUCUAUUCCCUAUAUAGUGGACUAGGUGGCCCUGGGCACUGGUCAAAAAGUAGUGCACUGUGUAUGGAAUAGGGUGCCAUUUGAGACUAACCAAAGUAAGGCAAGAAGUUCAGUAAGAAAGAGAGGGAAAAUAGAGAGCAGGUUAUAUAUUGGAGAAGUGGUUAUACAUUAGCCAGUUCUUUACAUAUUCAUAGAUUAGUCUUUAAAUAGUUCAUGUGGUAUCAACAACAACAACCAUUUUUACAAAAUAGAAAACAAAUAACUAA
This 1673-nucleotide long non-coding RNA is filed under the name Oncorhynchus mykiss (rainbow trout). RNAcentral describes it as "lncRNA (ENSOMYG00000068247.1)". The record is from RNAcentral. Lineage: Eukaryota; Metazoa; Chordata; Actinopteri; Salmoniformes; Salmonidae.